UUCGUGUCCUAUUUCAGGAACUUGUAUAUUUUAUCACCACAAAUGGAGUGAGGUGAGAAAUAGUCUUGAAGCAUGAUGGAAAAUGAAUCUUUAGUUAGAAGACUGACUUUCUGAAACUGAAUUCGACUUCUGGGAAAAAACACCAGCCUCCUUACAAUGAUCAAUAUUCAUUCUUAAAUGUUAAAAGUCAAUCUGGACAGAGGACAUAUUGAUCAAUGACAGGAAGGUCAAGAUCAGACAUGUUUUCAUUUGGAUAUGAUUGUGCUGCCUACAAGGAGAAAGAGACCAGCAAUCGGGAAAGAGGGCAAGGUAGUCAGAAGGCUUAUUGUCCACCUGAAAUCUUUCCUCAAAGAGCAACAGACUUGGACUGAUUUGUGCGGCUGGCAGACAGAAGAAUGGGCAUUUUGCAUUUUCUGUGAGGUAGCUGUGAGUCACCCAAUGGUUGGCCAGUUUCAUAUUCUCUGUGCAAGCUCACUCUUGCAAUGAGUCUCUCCCAUUGUUGAUGCAAAUAGGUUGGGAAUCCAUCUGGACAAGACCUUGCCUCCUGUCUGGGAUGCUCUUCUUUUCCCUGGAAUAAAGGGCUUCUUUCUUGUCAUCUCAGGGUCUUUUCUUUUAAUGUUGAAUCAGCAACUGGGUGCAGAUCUGGAACUGUUGUAAUGAUUAGAGGCCCAGGAUCUUGUUCUUCUGAAUCAAAGAGUCAUAGCCAAGAGGAUAGAAACCUCACUCUUCAAGAAGCAGCAGCAAGAGAGAGGAGAACCUGCUUGUCUGGCCCUUAAACAUGUUCCACAUCACUGAUUAAAUCAGAGAAUCAAUAACCUGCUCUUCAGGUUCCAUAGACAGAAACUUCUUGUCAUGUUUCCAUACCCAAGGUCUCACAACCUGGAAUGGCAGUGUUAACAAAUAGCGAGAGGGACACUUGUACUAGAGUUAAAAGACCUAAGUUCAAAUUCCAUCCAUGAUAUUUAU
Molecule: long non-coding RNA, 966 nt
Filed under: Sarcophilus harrisii (Tasmanian devil)
Lineage: Eukaryota; Metazoa; Chordata; Mammalia; Dasyuromorphia; Dasyuridae
Description: lncRNA (ENSSHAG00000022461.1)
Source: RNAcentral